Molecule: ribosomal RNA, 686 nt
Filed under: uncultured prokaryote
Description: bacterial SSU rRNA
Rfam family: Bacterial small subunit ribosomal RNA
Source: RNAcentral
GAUGAACGCUGACAGAAUGCUUAACACAUGCAAGUCGAUUCGAUUUACCUUCGGGUAUUGAGGAUGGCGGACGGGUGAGUAACGCGUAAGGAACUUGCCUCUUGGUCUGGGACAACUGUUGGAAACGACAGCUAAUACCGGAUAUUAUGAGAUUCUCGCAUGGGAAACUUAUGAAAGCUAUAUGCGCCAAGAGAGAGCCUUGCGUUCCAUUAGCUAGUUGGUGGGGUAACGGCCCACCAAGGCGACGAUGGAUAGCCGGCCUGAGAGGGUGAACGGCCACAAGGGGACUGAGACACGGCCCUUACUCCUACGGGAGGCAGCAGUGGGGAAUAUUGGACAAUGGGCCACAAGCCUGAUCCAGCAAUUCUGUGUGCACGAUGAAGGUCUUCGGAUUGUAAAGUGCUUUCAGUUGGGAAGAAGAAAGUGACGGUACCAACAGAAGAAGCGACGGCUAAAUACGUGCCAGCAGCCGCGGUAAUACGUAUGUCGCAAGCGUUAUCCGGAUUUAUUGGGCGUAAAGCGCGUCUAGGCGGAAAAAUAAGUCUGAUGUUAAAAUGCGGGGCUCAACUCCGUAUUGCGUUGGAAACUGUUUUUCUAGAGUACUGGAGAGGUGGGCGGAACUACAAGUGUAGAGGUGAAAUUCGUAGAUAUUUGUAGGAAUGCCGAUGGAGAAGUCAGCUCACUGG